GGGCAAGUGGUCUAGGGGUAUGAUUUCUCAUUCGCAUCAAGGAAACUUGGACAACAUUGAGAAGGUCCGGGGUUCAAUUCCCCGCUUGUCCA
Molecule: non-coding RNA, 92 nt
Organism: Terfezia boudieri ATCC MYA-4762
Lineage: Eukaryota; Fungi; Ascomycota; Pezizomycetes; Pezizales; Pezizaceae
Source: the annotation of a GenBank genome assembly